RNAcentral lists this long non-coding RNA (1230 nucleotides) under Equus caballus (horse). RNAcentral's name for it is "lncRNA (ENSECAG00000058724.1)". Lineage: Eukaryota; Metazoa; Chordata; Mammalia; Perissodactyla; Equidae. The record is from RNAcentral.
GGAAUUAUUCAUGAAGCUCCAAGGCUGGAGAAACGCUUCCUUAUCUCCCGUCUCUGGAAUGACUGAGAGACGCAGAGUCCUGGCAGCCCAGGUGCCUUCUCACUUGGCAGCUGCCCUUUUGAAAACCACAAAUAGGAGAAGGAAUGACCUGCAGGGCACAACGUUUUUUAUAUUGUUUUUUAAAUGAGAAAACUGAUUUCUCUAAACCCACAAACUAAAAAGUGAUUGUAAAAAUAACGAAAUGCAGAUCAUUCCAGACAAUUCUAGCAUUCUAGACACUACUAGUAUUGAAAUUUACCAGUAAAAGAAAUGAGGUUAUGAAUUAUUUGGGGGUUAAGACGGACAGCUGGGUAGUUUAUACACAUUCAACACCCUUACUGAGACCAUCUAAUGCCUCUGUUUAAACUUGUUGAAAGAAAUUUGGGAACCGGAAAGAACGUCUGUGAAAACAGCAGCACGGGGUCCAGGCAACGGCCCCCACUUUCCUGAGUUCUGAACCCGGCUCUGUGGCUUCUCAGGUGAGGAAACGCAGGAAAGAGACCUGCCUGUGGUCCCACCAUCACGUCGCGACAGAGCCGCAGCUGGAAUUCAGCUCCCCAUUUUACUAUAGGAAAGAGCAAUGAAAUGAGACUCAGGAAGUAUGGGAGACUCUGGAGCUGAGGACAGAGAGUGAGUUCAGAAAACAUACAAGAGAGAUUUAAAAAGGAGUGGGGACCAGGCAUGCUAAAUGCUGCACAGAGGUCAAGCCACACAAGAUCUGAAGGUCGGCGUUUACAGAGCUGGCAGUAAGGUUAUCCGUGACCUUGGCAAGGGGGCGUCUACACUUUUUUUGUAGUGCAGAGCCCGAUUCAAUGUUGAAGCUCAGGGACGACAACUGCACCGUUCUUGCCUCUCACUGUCGUGUUGAUGAGCGCCCUGUGCUUGUCCCAGCCGUGGCUGGGACUUACCACUUCCCUUGAGGUUAGCCUCCAGUGAGAAAGAGCUGAAGUCGUCGGAGCUGCGUUUGUGGAAAAAAGCCUGGGUUCUCUGACCCUGUUCGCACCUCAGUUCUGCUCCUCUAGCUCCACUCUGUGUUUCCUGGACAACUGCUUCUCUGGACCUUAAUGGCCCCUGCUCCCUCCUUAGUUUUAACGGCCAUCUUGACUUCUUAGCAUCUUCUUUAGGACACAGUCUGGUGUUCUCCCGGCUUCUACCACUUACAGCUGCCCAGGCCCACAGCCCCGACGGAUG